GAGCUUUGUUUAAAUAGUCGCUAGUGUCGGAAAGUGCUCACUGAAAACAGUGGUAUUGUGGAAAUCAGUUGGGAAUAAACUGCGUAGAUUUGAGCAGGAAACUUUAGAAAAAUGCUCACUUAUCUAAGGAACCCAAUAUCUGGGUACGAAUACUCUUUUUGGCCUGACGCAAAAUUCUUCUACCACUACAAAAUCUAUCGACCUCUGAGCUUUCACUCAGAUUGGCCAAUUACAGCAAGAGAAUGGUACCCAGAGUACUGGCCCAGUUAUCAUUCAUACUGGCACUAUCUUAGAGAUGUACCAAGCGAGGAAUCCUUCAGACAGCUCAGGGUUAAGAACAAUCUGUAUUGGUCUGAUACACUGGUCUCAUAGGAUUGAGAGAUAAACCGGCAAUGUUGGUGAAGAAGAACUGACAUUUGAUCGAAUAUAUGUAUAUAUAGGUUAUUUAUUGCUGCCGAAUGUAUAUUUUUAUAUUACGAUGUUUCAAUAAAGAUUUGAAAUAAUUAAAAA
Molecule: long non-coding RNA, 510 nt
Organism: Leptinotarsa decemlineata (Colorado potato beetle)
Lineage: Eukaryota; Metazoa; Arthropoda; Insecta; Coleoptera; Chrysomelidae
Source: RefSeq, a predicted model, not a curated record